Molecule: long non-coding RNA, 1934 nt
Organism: Lagopus muta (rock ptarmigan)
Lineage: Eukaryota; Metazoa; Chordata; Aves; Galliformes; Phasianidae
Exons: 3
Source: RefSeq, a predicted model, not a curated record
GCUGCUGGGACUCGGUCUGCUUGUCACGUUACAGCCAUUCUCCGGGCGAUUUAUUCAGCUGAGUCAGGAAAAGCCGCUGCCUGCUGCUUCUAAGAAACUCUCUGCACCUCAGGAGAGACAGCGCUAAUUAACACAGGUCUAAAUUAGAGCAGAACUAAGGCUAGUGCUUGGAAAACGUGGGGUGAGCAUAAAACCAGGAGGGCUGUGUGCAACCCGCUGAGCUGCCUACAGGUGCCUGAGCUUCAGGCUGUGCUUGGAGCUGGUGGCGGUGCUGCUCCGUGUGGUGCAGGCUCAGUGCGAGCUGCAAAGGCCCUUGCUGCCCUUCUCUGCAAUGCUAAGUGAAACUGGUCUCAGUCGGUCUCGGUCUCUGAACGUGCCGUUUGAAGAUGCAGUAAGACUGAAAGUAAGAUUGACUCUUGUCGUCUUCUCUGCAGAGCCCUUAUGAAAGAUGACUGUUGUGUUUCCAUCUGGAGCAGCUGAGCAGCCUGACUUAUGCCUCUGGAAGUCAGUAGAGAGAAAGCCCUGUUCACAUUCACCCCUAACUGCAUCCUGCCCUCCCAGUUUCAAUGGAGCAGUACCAACCCUGCAAAAAGCCAACCCACAAACUCCAAACUGAGGCUGAGAGGAGGAAGAUGAGCGGUUCCCUCAGAGCAGCUGAUGCUGCAGGGGAGCUGCAGGAGUGAUGCACGAAUCUCACAUUGAAAUUUAAGUUUUGGAUCUCAAAAGUAAUAGGGUUCUUCCACUCUGCAAGGACAGCUCGGUGCCUGGGGUUGCUGUGAUGUCAUUCCUUUUGGGAACCUUUUUGGGUGAAGUCAGUGCAGGUGACCUCCACCUCCAUCAGAACACCACUGGUGUGAUCCUGGGCUGCUGGAUUCUCAAUGGCUCGUAGCAGUUUCCCUGUCUGUCCAUCCACAGUGCUCCGUCAGUGUGCUGAGUUACUUCUGAGUGUUGUAAUGCAGCUGAGCUGAAUAAUCCCUGUGGAUAGGAAGAGGAGAUGGAUGCACUCUCCUCAGGAAGAAGAGUCCAAGAGGAUGAUAGCAACGAUCCAGCUGGACCUGCAAGUCAACACCAUUCCCGGAUUUAACCGAGAACUUUGGCAGUUUUUGAGUUGCUUGGGAUUUUGCCCUGGAUCCUCAGUGUCAGGAAUGGCUGCUGCCCAGAUUUGCAAGGUGUGGUACAGCCACUGCUGCUGAUGCCAAUAGUCAAGGAGAGGGGAAUGAAACCUGCUGAGACUUGGGAAUGAAACAAAUCAGCAUUAAUUAAAAGCAAAUGCUAUCUGUUGACUAAGAGGUUCCAAAGCAGAUGUUUGUCAAAAUCGCCAGGAGAUGGGUCAUCUGAAAGCAGAGGUAAUAAAUAAUGAGAACGAUGUUUCUAGUCAUUUCAUGUUUUCUCAGGUCAAAACCAGGUGUCAGACAGGGCUGGAAGUAUCACAGAGUGAAACACGUUGUGUUGUUCCACUGCAGGGAGCUCCAUGCUGCCAUCUCUGUAUUUGUGACCCAUGUGCUCAAAGCACUGUGCACCUAUGGACCCGUGGCAGCAUUACAUGCACAGCUGGCAGCGUGCUGGGCAGGCCCUCACAUCACUCCUGCUCCAUCAAAUGGCUCUCUGCAAGUUUAUGCUCAGGUGGAUGCAUGUUGGAAUGGCAUUGGCACUUCUGUGGCUCUCCAUCCCUCUCUGGCAGCAGCACAGAGGAAUUCGGGCAGCUCGCUCUGUUCUGUCCUGGGAUACAUCAAAAGAUGAAGAAAGGUCCAGCUGUGAUGCAAACCAGCUUUUCCAGUUUUCAUUUCUGCAACGUUAAACAUAUUCCAUGGAAGGACUUCAGCCACAGAAUUACUUGGGCCAUGUGGAGGGAGAUGGCAGCUGUGUCCCAACCAUUCAGAGCAUGCAGUCUUCUACAGGAGUGCUUUGGUUUUGGUCCUGCCUUCAUCGUCAAG